Long non-coding RNA from Rattus rattus (black rat), 227 nucleotides. RefSeq lists it as uncharacterized. NCBI's taxonomy places the organism in Eukaryota, Metazoa, Chordata, Mammalia, Rodentia, Muridae. The record is from RefSeq and is a predicted model, not a curated record. The transcript is spliced from 3 exons.
CAAAAUCCUAUGAAGCAAAGGAACUGGGAGGGAGUACUCGCACCACGAGGGGCGCGAGGGAGACUUUCACCUAGGUGUUCCUCCAGCUCCAAGAAUGCACUCGAGCCUAAUCAAACACCUGCCCGCCAGCUCCAAGUCAGGCGCAGACGCCGCCAACCCCUCUCCAGACAGCUGCUGAUUCGAGAGCUCCCACAAAGCCUACAGAGUCUCACAUAGAACCCCCCCAC